Molecule: ribosomal RNA, 301 nt
Filed under: uncultured bacterium
Lineage: Bacteria
Description: partial 16S ribosomal RNA
Rfam family: Bacterial small subunit ribosomal RNA
Source: RNAcentral
CAGUCGCCGCGGUAAUACGUAGGGUGCGAGCGUUAAUCGGAAUUACUGGGCGUAAAGCGUGCGCAGGCGGUUGUGUAAGACAGGUGUGAAAUCCCCGGGCUUAACCUGGGAACUGCGCUUGUGACUGCACAGCUAGAGUAUGGCAGAGGGGGGUGGAAUUCCACGUGUAGCAGUGAAAUGCGUAGAGAUGUGGAGGAACACCGAUGGCGAAGGCAGCCCCCUGGGCCAAUACUGACGCUCAUGCACGAAAGCGUGGGGAGCAAACAGGAUUAGAUACCCCCGUAGUCCCUGUCUCUUAUAU